UACGUAGGGGGCAAGCGUUGUCCGGAUUUAUUGGGCGUAAAGAGCGUGUAGGCGGCCAGAUAGGUCAGCUGUGAAAACUCGAGGCUCAACCUCGAGACGUCGGUUGAAACCAUCUGGCUAGAGUCCGGAAGAGGAGAGUGGAAUUCCCGGUGUAGCGGUGAAAUGCGCAGAUAUCAGGAAGAACACCCGUGGCGAAGGCGGCUCUCUGGGACGGUACUGACGCUGAGACGCGAAAGCGUGGGGAGCGAACAGG
This 253-nucleotide ribosomal RNA is filed under the name uncultured bacterium. Its description in RNAcentral is "partial 16S ribosomal RNA". It matches the Rfam family "Bacterial small subunit ribosomal RNA", at positions 524 to 776 of the family's 1533-position model. The record is from RNAcentral.